AAGCAGGGUGUCGGGAGGCGGGGGGUGGGGUUUGGGGGGAACCCACCUAACUGACUCACUAAAUGAAGGUAAAGGGAUGUGGGUAGUGGGGGGAGCCGAGGGGCGACUUGAAAAUUAAACUGACCCCUCCUAAAUCCCAAGUAGAAGAGUCUAUGCACAUGAAAGAAACCAACACACAAAGAAAACUAAAGCGCUGAUCAAAGAACAAUAGGGCCCCCGCCAGGGCAGAGGUUCCCUAGGCAACGAGGGAGAGAGGGAGGGACCUCCAGAAGGGAGAGAGAGAAACCCGUUGCCCCAGGUUCGGUGAAGUCAGGGAGACCUCCCUCCGUGUGACCUCAACUUUCAAUAACAGUGGCCGCUAGGUGAUGCCCGAAGACAACCGAUGCCUGCAAAUGUCAGUCAGCACGGAAAAGAAUGUACUGUACUCUGGAGGCUGAGGUGGAAGGAUCACUGGAGUCCAGGAGCGUCCACGCUGCAGUGAGUCCAAGGUACACCCCGGGAGACGGCAAGAGAAACGUUCACACCGUGCUUUCCGUCUUCGUGUUUAUCUCUUUCAUCUUUUCCAUUUUACGAGAGAUGCUCAUUUCAACAAGCAGACGGCGGAUGUGACGGGAGAAGUGUCAAGGCCAGGAGUUUGAGACCAGCGUGAGCAACAGAGCAACACAAGUAGGAGAGCCCAGCUGAAAGAAAUGAAAGAGGAGGAGGAGGAGGACAUGGGAGGCUGGGGGUGGGGGUAGGGGGGAGGAGAAGGAAAGAAAGAAAAGAAAAGAAAAGAAAAGAAAAGAAAAAGAAAAACAACCACCAAGAAAGUUAAAAUUCUCCAAUGGUCAGAAGUUCAAGACCAGCCUGACCAAGAUGGAGAAACCCCAUCUGUAC
RNAcentral lists this long non-coding RNA (876 nucleotides) under Pan troglodytes (chimpanzee). RNAcentral's name for it is "lncRNA (ENSPTRG00000053764.1)". Lineage: Eukaryota; Metazoa; Chordata; Mammalia; Primates; Hominidae. The record is from RNAcentral.